AAGUCGAGCGAGCUGAACCAACAGAUUCACUUCGGUGAUGACGUUGGGAACGCGAGCGGCGGAUGGGUGAGUAACACGUGGGGAACCUGCCCCAUAGUCUGGGAUACCACUUGGAAACAGGUGCUAAUACCGGAUAAGAAAGCAGAUCGCAUGAUCAGCUUAUAAAAGGCGGCGUAAGCUGUCGCUAUGGGAUGGCCCCGCGGUGCAUUAGCUAGUUGGUAGGGUAACGGCCUACCAAGGCAAUGAUGCAUAGCCGAGUUGAGAGACUGAUCGGCCACAUUGGGACUGAGACACGGCCCAAACUCCUACGGGAGGCAGCAGUAGGGAAUCUUCCACAAUGGACGAAAGUCUGAUGGAGCAACGCCGCGUGAGUGAAGAAGGUUUUCGGAUCGUAAAGCUCUGUUGUUGGUGAAGAAGGAUAGAGGUAGUAACUGGCCUUUAUUUGACGGUAAUCAACCAGAAAGUCACGGCUAACUACGUGCCAGCAGCCGCGGUAAUACGUAGGUGGCAAGCGUUGUCCGGAUUUAUUGGGCGUAAAGCGAGCGCAGGCGGAAGAAUAAGUCUGAUGUGAAAGCCCUCGGCUUAACCGAGGAACUGCAUCGGAAACUGUUUUUCUUGAGUGCAGAAGAGGAGAGUGGAACUCCAUGUGUAGCGGUGGAAUGCGUAGAUAUAUGGAAGAACACCAGUGGCGAAGGCGGCUCUCUGGUCUGCAACUGACGCUGAGGCUCGAAAGCAUGGGUAGCGAACAGGAUUAGAUACCCUGGUAGUCCAUGCCGUAAACGAUGAGUGCUAAGUGUUGGGAGGUUUCCGCCUCUCAGUGCUGCAGCUAACGCAUUAAGCACUCCGCCUGGGGAGUACGACCGCAAGGUUGAAACUCAAAGGAAUUGACGGGGGCCCGCACAAGCGGUGGAGCAUGUGGUUUAAUUCGAAGCAACGCGAAGAACCUUACCAGGUCUUGACAUCUAG
RNAcentral lists this ribosomal RNA (966 nucleotides) under Lactobacillus acidophilus. Its description in RNAcentral is "bacterial SSU rRNA". It matches the Rfam family "Bacterial small subunit ribosomal RNA", at positions 59 to 991 of the family's 1533-position model. The record is from RNAcentral. Lineage: Bacteria; Bacillati; Bacillota; Bacilli; Lactobacillales; Lactobacillaceae.